GGCGGAGGAGCUCUCUGGA
This 19-nucleotide non-coding RNA is filed under the name Arabidopsis thaliana (thale cress). Lineage: Eukaryota; Viridiplantae; Streptophyta; Magnoliopsida; Brassicales; Brassicaceae. The record is from RNAcentral.